CAGCAGCCGCGGUAAUACGAAGGGUGCAAGCGUUAAUCGGAAUUACUGGGCGUAAAGCGUGCGUAGGCGGUUUGUUAAGUCUGUUGUGAAAUCCCCGGGCUCAACCUGGGAAUGGCAGUGGAUACUGGCUCGCUAGAGUGUGUCAGAGGAUGGUGGAAUUCCCGGUGUAGCGGUGAAAUGCGUAGAGAUCGGGAGGAACAUCAGUGGCGAAGGCGGCCAUCUGGGACAACACUGACGCUGAGGCACGAAAGCGUGGGGAGCAAACAGGAUUAGAUACCCGCGUAGUCCCUGUCUCUUAUAC
Molecule: ribosomal RNA, 301 nt
Filed under: uncultured bacterium
Lineage: Bacteria
Description: partial 16S ribosomal RNA
Rfam family: Bacterial small subunit ribosomal RNA
Source: RNAcentral